UACGUAGGGUGCAAGCGUUAAUCGGAAUUACUGGGCGUAAAGCGUGCGCAGGCGGUUUUGUAAGUCUGACGUGAAAUCCCGGGCUCAACCUGGGAAUUGCGUUGGAGACUGCAAGGCUAGAAUCUGGCAGAGGGGGGUAGAAUUCCACGUGUAGCAGUGAAAUGCGUAGAGAUGUGGAGGAACACCGAUGGCGAAGGCAGCCCCCUGGGUCAAGAUUGACGCUCAUGCACGAAAGGCGUGGGGAGCAAACGAGGAUUACGAAACCCUA
RNAcentral lists this ribosomal RNA (268 nucleotides) under uncultured bacterium. RNAcentral describes it as "partial 16S ribosomal RNA". It matches the Rfam family "Bacterial small subunit ribosomal RNA", at positions 524 to 789 of the family's 1533-position model. The record is from RNAcentral.